Molecule: long non-coding RNA, 1010 nt
Organism: Brachypodium distachyon (stiff brome)
Lineage: Eukaryota; Viridiplantae; Streptophyta; Magnoliopsida; Poales; Poaceae
Exons: 2
Source: RefSeq, a predicted model, not a curated record
CCGUUCUAUAAUUCUUGUCGCCGUUUUAGUACAAAAUUGAAAUAAAACAGCGACAAAAAUUAUGGAACGGAGGAAGUAUGUUCUUGAGAGGAGAUUUAAAAUGAAUUAUGCGUGUCUCCUGAGUCGGAUACAUGUCACCUUGGACAAAGCUGUACCGCGGAGCAUUGGCGGUUACGCUGAAUCCAAGCUCGGAAACUUCUAACUGAAGCAUUAUAGUAUAGGAAUUGAUGGCUCUCGCCGGCUAAAGAUAAAUUAGUGCUACGUACCGUAUACCAAAUGGUAACUUAGACCACAAGAGAAUGUGCUGGAUCGUACGUGCCUACGUGAGUCGUCUGCCUAGUCCAGCGAAUUGGACUUGAGGCUAGCUUUGGCGGGUGUUUUAAUAUCUUGCAUUCUCUGCCUCGCUGCCGAAGCCAAGGGCUUGUUUGGUUGCUGCCUUGGAGUCCAUGUGCCCGCCUGGAGCCUCCCUGGAAACUGCCUGUGUCCUGUUUGUUCAGUACCCUGAAAUCUGUCUGGUUCAGGCGACCGAAAACGAGCGCCUGAGUAUGGCUUCCGUUCACCAAGCAUGCCUGAGCCUCUGUCCUUGUUCCUCGACUUGGUGCCGGUGCUCCGGCUGCCGUCAACCACGAUGACGUCGUGCUGCUGCUCUUGCCGCCGGCGACUGACCAAAUUGGUAACUAAAAUAUGAAGCACAGGCUGCUGUGACCGAGUAUGAUGCGUCGCCAACUUGCCAUGGUCAAGGUCGGCACAACAAUUGCAAUCAGAAUGAAAAUUUGGAGCUGCUCUUUGUUCAUAGUUGGAUCUGGAUCUCGUGUGGUCAUGGUUUAUUACGGGUUGAUGUAGCUUCAAUUGGACACUUGUGCUCGUGGUUUCUGUUAGGAGAACUAGAUUAGGUGGUUCAGAAGAACUUGGGGAGUAUCACAGACUCACAGGGAACUCGUGGAACAGAGUAGAUUUGGGACUAGAAGAGAGAUGAACAAAGCGUAUUUCAGUUCUUUACGUUUUCUCAA